GACGUAGGGCGCAAGCGUUGUCCGGAUUUAUUGGGCGUAAAGAGCUCGUAGGCGGCCUGUCGCGUCGACUGUGAAAACCCGCGGCUUAACCGCGGGACUGCAGUCGAUACGGGCAGGCUAGAGUUCGGUAGGGGAGACUGGAAUUCCUGGUGUAGCGGUGAAAUGCGCAGAUAUCAGGAGGAACACCGGUGGCGAAGGCGGGUCUCUGGGCCGAUACUGACGCUGAGGAGCGAAAGCGUGGGGAGCGAACAGGAUUAGAUACCCCCGUAGUCC
Molecule: ribosomal RNA, 273 nt
Filed under: uncultured bacterium
Lineage: Bacteria
Description: partial 16S ribosomal RNA
Rfam family: Bacterial small subunit ribosomal RNA
Source: RNAcentral